Molecule: ribosomal RNA, 253 nt
Filed under: uncultured bacterium
Lineage: Bacteria
Description: partial 16S ribosomal RNA
Rfam family: Bacterial small subunit ribosomal RNA
Source: RNAcentral
UACGUAGGGGGCAAGCGUUGUCCGGAAUUAUUGGGCGUAAAGAGCGUGUAGGCGGUCCGGUAAGUCAGCUGUGAAAGUCAAGGGCUCAACCCUUGAAAGCCGGUUGAUACUGUCGGGCUAGAGUCCGGAAGAGGCGAGUGGAAUUCCCGGUGUAGCGGUGAAAUGCGCAGAUAUCGGGAGGAACACCUGCGGUGUAGACAGCUUUCUGGACCACUUCUGACGCUGAGACACGAAAGCGUGGGUAGCAAACAGG